CCUACGGGAGGCAGCAGUGAGGAAUAUUGGUCAAUGGGCGCUAGCCUGAACCAGCCAAGUAGCGUGAAGGAUGACUGCCCUAUGGGUUGUAAACUUCUUUUAUAUGGGAAUAAAGUGCAGUAUGUAUACUGCUUUGCAUGUUCCUUAGGAAUAAGGAUCGGCUAACUCCGUGCCCGCAGCCGCGGUAAUACGGAGGAUGCGAGCGUUAUCCGGAUUUAUUGGGUUUAAAGGGUGCGCAGGCGGACUUUUAAGUCAGCGGUAAAAUCGUGGGGCUCAAACCCAUCCAGCCGUUGAAACUGGGGACCUAGAGUGGGCGAGAGGAAUGCGGAAUGCGUGGUGUAGCGGUGAAAUGCAUAGAUAUCACGCAGAACCCCGAUUGCGAAGGCAGCAUACCGGUGCACAACUGACGCUCAGGCACGAAAGCGCGGGUAUCGAACAGGAUUAGAUACCCGAGUAGUC
Molecule: ribosomal RNA, 459 nt
Filed under: uncultured bacterium
Lineage: Bacteria
Description: partial 16S ribosomal RNA
Rfam family: Bacterial small subunit ribosomal RNA
Source: RNAcentral